AUUGAACGCUGGCGGCAUGCCUUACACAUGCAAGUCGAACGGCAGCACGGGAGCAAUCCUGGUGGCGAGUGGCGAACGGGUGAGUAAUAUAUCGGAAUGUGCCCAGUCGUGGGGGAUAACGUAGCGAAAGCUACGCUAAUACCGCAUACGAUCUACGGAUGAAAGCGGGGGAUCGCAAGACCUCGCGCGAUUGGAGCGGCCGAUAUCCGAUUAGGUUGUUGGUGAGGUAAAAGCUCACCAAGCCUGCGAUCUGUAGCUGGUCUGAGAGGACGACCAGCCACACUGGAACUGAGACACGGUCCAGACUCCUACGGGAGGCAGCAGUGGGGAAUUUUGGACAAUGGACGCAAGUCUGAUCCAGCAAUGCCGCGUGCAGGACGAAGGCCUUCGGGUUGUAAACUGCUUUUGUACGGAACGAAACGGUGAGCUCUAAUAUAGUUUGCUAAUGACGGUACCGUAAGAAUAAGCACCGGCUAACUACGUGCCAGCCGCCGCGGUAA
RNAcentral lists this ribosomal RNA (500 nucleotides) under uncultured bacterium. Its description in RNAcentral is "partial 16S ribosomal RNA". It matches the Rfam family "Bacterial small subunit ribosomal RNA", at positions 30 to 523 of the family's 1533-position model. The record is from RNAcentral.